GAGAGAGGGAGUUGUAUAUAUUUCCAAUAGCAAAAUACACAUGAGUCUUUACAAAAGGAAGAUCCCCUUUAUAUACUGAGGGACCUUCCUCGAAAUAAUCAAAGAAAAGUACAAGGAUUGGUGGCCUCAUUGUACGAGUGUCAGAGCUCGAAACGACGUUGCAGUGAGUCAUGUCACUCGAUCCGUCUACUAACUGAGGCCGGCCUUACUCGAGUCGACCAUAAUUAGGUCACUUUCUUCACCGAAGACAUAUGUAAAUAACAUAGAAACAUAGGGAACUAAAUAUGUCCAAUACAAAUUUUUCAUCAGAACUAAUCGAAUCAAUAUGUUAAAAUAUUGACGCUUAUCCUCUAAAACUUUAAAUU
RNAcentral lists this long non-coding RNA (365 nucleotides) under Nicotiana benthamiana. RNAcentral describes it as "long non-coding RNA (NBEN_LNC012409)". The record is from RNAcentral. Lineage: Eukaryota; Viridiplantae; Streptophyta; Magnoliopsida; Solanales; Solanaceae.